Molecule: RNA transcript, 3889 nt
Organism: Brachypodium distachyon (stiff brome)
Lineage: Eukaryota; Viridiplantae; Streptophyta; Magnoliopsida; Poales; Poaceae
Exons: 6
Source: RefSeq, a predicted model, not a curated record
CUCCCCUCUCCUCCGCCAACGUGGUGGACUCGUCGGCCCGCAACACGACGAGCGACGGAGCGAGCCGUCGGUGUCUGCGCCCGCACGGUGCACUGAACGUGGCGCCCCAGUUGUGAGACCCCCUUCGUCCUACUUAACCACCCCACCCUGCGCCGUUGAAGCGAAGGGGCAACCAUGAUGAGGCCUGGAGUGACGUCGGCCGCGGCGGCGGAGGUUUCGGCGGGCGCGGGUUACCGCGGCUGGGCAUGGAGGCCGAGGCCGAGGCAGGGGCAGCGCGUGAGGCUAGGGGCGUCCAGCCCCCACGCGGCCGCGGCGAGCGCCGUGCACACGAGGGACACGGAGCUCCGCCACGGCGAGCCGUUCCGCCGACCGCUCCUGUUGCCUGGCGGCAAGGGGUACGGCUCGGACCUAGAGGCGCGGAUCGAGAAGGCCAUCUACGCCUGCCGCUUCAUGACCUUCCUUGCCAUCGCUGGAUCUCUCGCGGGAUCCGUCCUCUGCUUCCUCAAGGGCUGCAUUUUUGUGAUGGACGCGUUCGUCGAGUACUGCAUGCGCGGCGAUGCCAAGGUCGUCUUCAUGCUGGUUGAAGCCAUUGAUAUGUAUCUCAUCGGAACUGUCAUGUUUGUCUUUGGGACGGGCCUGUACGAACUGUUCAUCAGUAACAUGGACAUUGCGAAACAAUACUCCUACGGCUCCAACCUCUUUGGCUUGUUCAGGCUUCCGGAACGACCCAAGUGGCUGGAAAUCCAGUCGGUGAGUGACCUCAAGACGAAGCUGGGUCAUGUCAUCGUCAUGGUUCUACUGAUUGGCAUCUCCGAGAAAAGCAAGAGGGUGACCAUCACAUCGUGUACUGACCUCUUUUGCUUCGCUGCAUCGAUUUUCCUCUCUUCAGGUUGCCUCUACCUACUAUCUAAGCUCGGUAGCACCAAAGGAGGGAGCCAUACCUGAAAAACUAAUAUUGUACGUAAGGGAUAGGAGAUAGGCCUCACAAUCUGAAAGGGAGGCAGUAUAGCUGAUUUACCAGUUCUACAACUUUUGUGAGACCAAGUGCCCAGGCAUAUUUAUUAGCUGCAAAGCAGAUUGUGCGCCUCUGAGGGUUAGAAACCUUCGGAAUUUCCUCUGUGAUUUGCAGAAAUUCAAAAACAGAGGAAUAGGAAAAAUACAGGAUUGCAUUAUCAUGUCCACUUGAAUCAUAUUGGAUUGAAUUUGUACCAAAUUUUGUUUGAUUGCACCAAAUGAAUAACAAAGGAAUCUUUCCAAAAGGUUUCAGUGGAUGGAAAAUACUAUGUGAAAUGUAGUAUUCCUUAUGAAAAAUUCCCAUAGCAUUCAAUCUUACAAAUCAAACAACCAACAUAUGAAAAAAUCCUGGGGAUUCUAAUCCUCAAAAUUUCCUAUGAAAAUCCUUUGAAUCAAAGAGGCCUGGGCCACUCCACACUCGAUUCCAGGAAACUUCCAUCGAUUAUAACCUUCGGAAAAAUUCAUAUGCCUCAUGAAUUAUCAUGUUUUUUCUAUGGUGUAAUCAAACACACUUUGCUAGCAUUUCCUAUGGUUUCUGCUACUGUAGGAUUCAAGAGGUCACAUUGCACCUGAAUUUUUCCUAUAGCUGUAUUUUGGAAUACUGCGGUUCAAAGAGGCCCUACGUUCACGAUUCUUAGUGGCAUCUAGUGAAGUUUGUUUCUCACCUUAAGUAUUCAGAACAUUAUCCAAUCAUUUUCACUUGGAUGCAGGCUUGCUGACUGCUGCUAGCAUGAGUUAGUGUUUUCCCUUUUUCUAGCGUGAGUUGGUAUUAUCCUUUUCUCUGAAGGGAACAUUAUUUUCUUUUCAUGAUCGGAGGUGUUUCCUACUCUUGCUAACAGCUGUAAAAAGAGUUGCGACAAAAAUGAUGAAAAUUCCCAUGCUUUUAGGUCAAGUUUAUGACACCUUUUCGUGUUAAAGGAGAGGAAUAAAAUGAUAUUAGUUGUAUUGUAUCAUAAAGGAUGAGAGAACCUCAAAUAAGUUAUUUGAUGAGUCCCAAGACAACCAAUAUGAGGCAAGGUUCCAAAUCAGAAAAAGACUUCAAUGCGCCUUUUCCAAAUCCAAAUUGAAGUUCCUUAAAAUUUAGAAAAUGGGGAUCCACGGAACAGGAACAAUUUCUGGUGGUGCAAUACCCUAUACAAAUAUAAUAACUUUGGGCAUUUGCUACUCUUUUCUGUAUGCAGCAAUAAGCAACAUAAUUAGAAGCUCCAACUUGCUGCUGUUCCUUCUACAUAAGGCCUGAUGAACUCUAAUAGAAGCUCCAACUUGCUGUUUUUUUGCUUUAACUUUGACUGGAACAUGCCAAGUGAUGCACUUGGUAGUUCAAGUUUGCAAGUUACAUGCUUAAUGAGGAUUCCAUGACUCCCCAAAUAUGUUAGAUUAGUAAAUCUGGAUCAACUUGUGCCUUAAGCAUAUGUUACUCAAGAGAUAUUUCGUUAGAAUGACUGAUGUUGGUAGUGCCUACAUGAUUCAGAACCGCAUCUUCAGUCCUUGGUAACACCUGAUAGAAAAAAAGGUAGUUGUUUGUUUGAUUGAUGCACUGGCAAAAAAAGAGUAAGAAAUAACCUCGCUGGUAAGAAGAUAGGUCUAAAUUUUUUUACUUUGAUACCUGUCGGACUGUCAGAGUUCAGGCCAGACUUGAGGCAUAUUCACAUGGCAUUGUUUCUUUAAUUUCCCUCGCUGCAUACAGUGUCUAUCCAGGUAGGAGAAGCUUAGAUGUUUCUUAGAAUAAAACUGGAUUGGGAAAAGGUGUUCCCUUUGGCAUAGAACUUAUGGAGAGAGAAGAGUUAUGGAAACAUCGUAAACUAUGGGCUGGGGUCUGUUGCUAUCACCUCCCUGGUCCUCCCGCCACUCAACUCCUUCAAAAGUACCUUUUAAAGACUAAACUAGUGACACAAUCUGCAUAUAUAAAGAAGGGAACUGGCUCAAGAGGUGAGCCAUCUUAGUAGUGACUGAGUAGCUUGUAUAUUGAGCUCUUAAUUCUUAUCCUCCUCUUCCAGCUUCCAUACUAGCUACCAGCCUACCAGUCUAUUGCUUGCCAGAUCCAUGGCCGUUCCGUUGAAAGCUGUUACCAUUUUCGUGUUGCUGCUGAGCACUACCUUCUGCCAGCUCCCUGUGCCUGUGCAUGCAAGGAGGCUAGAAGUGCGAGCGCCUACCGUCGACAUGCAUCCUCCCUGCACUGGAAGGAGCACUCUGGAGGCAUCUGCUGUGCUAGCUGAUUCGACCACUCCAGGCCAUAGCCCUAGCAUUGGCCAUAAUAGCCCUCCGAACUGAGAUGGCCAGAUGCCGCCAUGUUCCAUCCCUACAUGGAAUUUGCAGCAUGGGUAUCAUACGAUACGCUUAUGGUGUUUUCUCAAGCUUCUGUGUUCGUCACGAAAGGCAUAAGGCAUGUGCUCGACGCUGGGGAAGAUUUAGUUUCACUUAAUUUUCUUGUACCAGUGAAAGUUGUGCCUGCAUUUUUUUCACGCUUUCGUGAAAAACUUUUGCUUACUAUCAUCUCCGAGGAGGGUCUAUUGAUCUGUAGCAGUUUGCAUGUCAUUUUUUUUACUCUUCCUAUGUUGUAAACUUGAGGAGGUAUAUGUGAGCUUGUCAAAGUUGUCCUGCUAUGAUGAUGUAAACUUGAGAGUGGUCUGCUGUGAAUGACACGUUAGUUUUUCAUGCAGAUGAAGCAGCUUUUAUCAGUACUGGAUUCAUCUCUCUGUAACCUUUGUGGACUGCCUUCCAUGUAUACAUUAAGUUUGUAUAAAUUGGUCAUAAAUAAGAGAAAUUAUUAUCAAGAAAGUUGUAGACUGGCAAGACUGCAGUAUCAUCUGUUAUAACAUCUGGUGGGAGAGAUAAUAAACAUAAAAUGAUACAAGAUUGUGAAAUGUUUUUUUUU